Molecule: ribosomal RNA, 540 nt
Filed under: uncultured eukaryote
Lineage: Eukaryota
Description: SSU rRNA
Rfam family: Eukaryotic small subunit ribosomal RNA
Source: RNAcentral
UGUAUUUAUUAGAUAAAAAACCAAUGCCCUUCGGGGCUUUUUGGUGAUUCAUGAUAACUNUACGGAUCGCAUAGCCUUGCGCUGGCGACGGUUCAUUCAAAUUUCUGCCCUAUCAACUUUCGAUGGUAAGGUAUUGGCUUACCAUGGUUUCAACGGGUAACGGGGAAUUAGGGUUCGAUUCCGGAGAGGGAGCCUGAGAAACGGCUACCACAUCCAAGGAAGGCAGCAGGCGCGCAAAUUACCCAAUCCCGACACGGGGAGGUAGUGACAAUAAAUACUGAUACAGGGCUCUUUUGGGUCUUGUAAUUGGAAUGAGUACAAUUUAAACCUCUUAACGAGGAACAAUUGGAGGGCAAGUCUGGUGCCAGCAGCCGCGGUAAUUCCAGCUCCAAUAGCGUAUAUUAAAGUUGUUGCAGUUAAAAAGCUCGUAGUUGAAACUUGGGCCUGGCUGGCGGGUCCGCCUCACCGCGUGCACUCGUCCGGCCGGGCCUUCCUUCUGAAGAACCUCAUGCCCUUCACUGGGCGUGUUGGGGAACCAGG